Cygnus olor (mute swan) is the source of this 311-nucleotide long non-coding RNA. RefSeq lists it as uncharacterized. The transcript is spliced from 3 exons. The record is from RefSeq and is a predicted model, not a curated record. Lineage: Eukaryota; Metazoa; Chordata; Aves; Anseriformes; Anatidae.
AGUAGGACGAGUAGAGCUGGGCAAGCAGUCAGCCCCAGAUCUUUGGGAACAGAAACAGCUGGAAAUACCCCAUCGGUUCUAACGUAUAUGGUACAGCCUGCAGAUCAUUUGUAUUCUUCUAAAGGAUGUUAUAAACCUGGCAGAAAAGAAGGACGUGCUUAAGCCAUGGUUUGUCACUCACUGAGAAGACUUGAAGAAGUUUGUUGUCUCACCAGCCCCUAAAGCAGCUGUUUGCAGGAAGGUACAAAGCUUAUCUCCAGCUUUAAAGAACUAGUUAAUUUAUGUCUGAGAAUAUUUGCCAUUUCACUCUG